AUGGGGGACAUGCCUGAGACCACCUUGCCGGACCCGGCAGCUAUUCCCCAAAGCAGCCCCCAGCGAGUAGAGCAGCCUCACCAGGAGCGUCCAGAAACCGCUCCUGAAGUGCCAUAUGCUUCGACCACACCGCGAAGGGAGGAUUCCCCGGCAAGGGAGCGUUCCCCGGCAAGGGAGAACUCUCCGGCAAGGGACAGUUCUCCGGCAAGGGGCAGCACCAGCGACCCACCGGCGAUGGAGACUGUAGAUCCAAGCACAGGUCUUCAGAUCCAGCUGCCACAGAGCCAAUGGAGACCGAGGCCGCCGGCGAGGAGAACGCGUGCGACAACACUGAUGAUGCUGCUGCCACUGAAGGAGAAGCCGGUGCUAAUGAUCCCGCCGGCGAAGAGGCCACCAAGGUUGCCGCCGCAGAAACUGGCGAGAGAUCCGGCGAUCGCACUGACGGCCCUGAGGCCGCAGGAGCGCCAGGCGCUGCACCGACCACCGAUCCCUCCACCGCUGCUGCAGCGCCAGGCUCCGAAGAUCCCUAGCCCGGCGCCUAUCUGA
RNAcentral lists this ribosomal RNA (546 nucleotides) under Triticum aestivum (bread wheat). RNAcentral describes it as "partial small subunit ribosomal RNA". Lineage: Eukaryota; Viridiplantae; Streptophyta; Magnoliopsida; Poales; Poaceae. The record is from RNAcentral.